Molecule: ribosomal RNA, 497 nt
Filed under: uncultured bacterium
Lineage: Bacteria
Description: partial 16S ribosomal RNA
Rfam family: Bacterial small subunit ribosomal RNA
Source: RNAcentral
GAUGAACGCUGGCGGCGUGCCUAAUACAUGCAAGUCGAGCGAACGGACGAGGAGCUUGCUUCUCUGAUGUUAGCGGCGGACGGGUGAGUAACACGUGGAUAACCUACCUAUAAGACUGGGAUAACUUCGGGAAACCGGAGCUAAUACCGGAUAAUCUUUUGAACCGCGGGGUUCAAAAGUGAAAGACGGUCUUGCUGUCACUUAUAGAUGGAUCCGCGCUGCAUUAGCUAGUAGGUAAGGUAACGGCUUAUCAAGGCAACGAUGCAUAGCCGACCGGAGAGGGUGAUCGGCCACACUGGAACUGAGACACGGUCCAGACUCCUACGGGAGGCAGCAGUAGGGAAUCUUCCGCAAUGGGCGAAAGCCUGACGGAGCAACGCCGCGUGAGUGAUGAAGGUCUUCGGAUCGUAAAACUCUGUUAUUAGGGAAGAACAUAUGUGUAAGUAACUGUGCACAUCUUGACGGUACCUAAUCAGAAAGCCACGGCUAACUACGUG